UUCACAGGUGGUACAGAAAGCAGGAAACGCUGGAAAGAGACGCAUACUGAAGGCGGUGUGGGUACUUUGAAAAAGUACAUAAACCCAGAAGAUGCCCGGCCCCCUACCGGUACAGCCGCAUCUUUCUUAUCGCACCGUUUGACAUGCAAGAGGAAAGAAGGUUCGUUUUCUUUCUUUUUUUUUUUGCGGACACCCGAAAACUGCGGUUGGCAACACUUACGUGCUCAAACAUUGCUCAGAAGGGCGUAUUCCGAUUGCGGCUUCACAUUUUGGCUGCAGUGGCAGCCUCUCGCUAAAUCGUUCUCAUGGUUUACUUCAGGGCUCUUGUUGACUAGGUUAUCGGUACGAUCUCCCUAUCUCCGGCCGAUGUGCUGCAUUUGACAUAAACGCCCAGUACGUGCGAGCUCUGGAGACACAAGACUGAUUUUACUUGACGCUUUUGCGUUGGCUUCACCCGAUGGUGGAAAGUACCGCGCAUCGAUCCAAAAAGGUUGGAAACACGCGGCUCUACUACGGCGUGAGGAACGAUGCAAACACACAGCUGACAAGCCUGAGCAGAAGCGGAUGUCCUUGAGCGCAUCGACGAAGCCUCGGAGGAGACGACUUCCCGUUGGCCUUGUCACUUCCCUUGCUCCUCUGGGACGACGUGCUCGUGGUCACGAGGCAGCUGGAGCCGUCCGAGCCUGAUGCCGC
Molecule: non-coding RNA, 693 nt
Organism: Dermacentor albipictus
Lineage: Eukaryota; Metazoa; Arthropoda; Arachnida; Ixodida; Ixodidae
Source: RefSeq, a predicted model, not a curated record